GGGUGAAGCAUACUCUAGGGAAAGACCUGGCAGGAGAACUUGCUGAGUUCCAAGUGCUGCUUCUGUGUGUGCAUCCCUCUGCCUUUGCUCCAGCUCAGCCUGCUCUGAUGUGGAGGAUAUGAGUGGCUGCUUCUGAGUUCAUCCAAAUACAGAGGAUGAUUCAACAUGCUGAAACAGUUUCUAGCUAUAUUCUACGAAUGGAACUGCACACCAUACUGGAUGCCCUCUAUACAGAGACAAGAAGUUCAGAUCUUUAUCUCAACUAAAAUGUAUGUAACUUGUCUGUUAUUCUGUGUAAGAGUAGCAGAUGUCCAUGUCCUUGGGGGAAAGCAGUGCUUACUUCCCAACUCCUAAGACAACCUUACUUUUGGAGAAGGGGCAAUGAGUAAGAAAGGACUACAGGUGCUGCUACCAAACCCUCUGCUCUGCUUAUGCUAAUUUCCACACAAGCAGUCAGACUGAUGUUGAGCUCUUUUAACACAUCUCUGUUCCUUACAGUCUUCUCCCUUCCACUUCUGUAUUUGGGAGCCUGAUUAAAGCUCUUCACCAGAUAGCACCGCUUAGUUCUGAGUGUGUCUACAACUUCCAUGGCUCUCUGAUGCACCACACGUUUACAAAGAUCUUCAGCUGUUAAAAAGCUCUUGUGACUUACCAUAAAGAGCAGCCCCAGACAAUACAACAGAUGCAUGAAGUAUUAAUGUUUCACAGUAAUCAAUAGAUUUGUAAACACAGUUGACCUUUUGUUUUGAUGUAAGAUGAGAGUUAUAAGCUUGUGCAAAACACCAGUUAGGCUUUUGAGAGAGUCUCAGACCAGAGCUUUUCCCAGUAGCUGCUCUUAAAUCACCUUUCCUCCCUUCUGUGCAGGCUCUGUGAGCAGCUGCCAGCAAUCCAGCUCCUUGCUUAGAAGCACAAACCUUUUCAGCACUCUUCUUGCAGUGUGAAACAUACACUUGGACUGUUCUUGUGCUGAGAGAAGUAUUUAGCAGCUUUUCAGGUGCAUUAGGUAGAUGCCUACUGUUUCAGCUGUAUUAGAAUAGGCAUUGCUGUGCUUGCUGGCCAUUGAUGAAUACCAUAUGAGCUUGUGAUUGGAUGAAUCACUGUUGUCAGUCAAUGUGCACUCUGAAGGAAGCAGGAUCACACUGGUCAUAAGUUUUCAGGAAGAGAAACUCCUCAACAGUUGCAUGGAUUUCCUUUUGUGAUGUACAUGCAUUUGGGGAUCGCUGAGAAGCAGUCAUAAGUGAAGUGUCUGGGUGCACUACAGGUUGCUUCUGAUUCCCUGACUGAUGAAAGAAUAAUAGUUUUGUUUAUCUGCUACACUGUCUUAGUUGGCUGGCAAUUUCUAUUCUCCUUUUCUCUCUAGAUUGUUUUCUUCUUUUUCUCCUGCAGGACAGAUUGGAAUGAAAGAUCUAAUUUUCUCCUACUUUGUUUCCCAUGCAGCCACUUACGGGUAUGUGUAUGGUGUCACCUUACCCAAAUGGCAAUGUUUUACAGAGGUGUAAAUUGGAAGGUACAAGCAAUAUAAAGAGCAAGACAGGACAUAAUCAAAUCCCAGAGUGAGAGAGAAACUAUGUUUUAAGUCUUAUACCAUCUGGACAUGACUUUUUGUGAAUUUAAAAUAUCUGUAGGUGCUGAGGCAUCUGAAAGUUCAGCAGCAUAUGCCAUUUUUAUGUGAGGAGCAGCUGAGUCCCAGAUCACAUUUACUAGCUGCUAAAGGGAGAACUCUGUAAGAGUUUGGAGUAUCUGCUUCCUACUUUUCAGAUGAAGCAACCUUUAUAACUUUAUUUUUCUGUCCUUGCAUAAAGUCAUGGCUGCUUUGGUGUUGGGUUCCAUGUGAUGACAAAGAAGAAUGCAGUUGUGUGAAGAUAUUGCCUGCUCCCCCUUUGUUGGGAGGAGCUGCAAAACCAGCUGUCAGCAGUCCUCUCAGGCUGGAAAAGGCUGAGCACAAAGCUUGAAGUCAUAGAAAAGCAGGAUGCAGAAAGAAGACCCUGAGGAGAGCUUGUAAUGGCACUGUCCUAUGAAGUAGCCAGUGAAUCAUCACACACUGCCUUAUCAAGCCCCAUUUAUUUGAGCUUAUUUAUUACAAAAAUCUCAUGUUGUGUCUCAUCUAUUUUACAGCUCUGCAACACCAGCUACUUGAAAAUUUGUUAGUGCAACUCUGAGCUCCAAAUACCUCCUUUGGAUAUUUUUUGCCCCAGUCCUAUUUCUGUGUGCUUUGGUGGAAGGGUAGUAUAAUGCCACUUAGUAUAAAAUGUGCCUGCACUGGUAAGAACAUAAUAAAGUUUUUGUUGUGCUGCUGUGUAGCUGAGCC
Coturnix japonica (Japanese quail) is the source of this 2308-nucleotide long non-coding RNA. The record is from Ensembl. Lineage: Eukaryota; Metazoa; Chordata; Aves; Galliformes; Phasianidae.